RNAcentral lists this ribosomal RNA (208 nucleotides) under uncultured bacterium. RNAcentral describes it as "partial 16S ribosomal RNA". It matches the Rfam family "Bacterial small subunit ribosomal RNA", at positions 568 to 774 of the family's 1533-position model. The record is from RNAcentral.
AGCGUAGACGGACUGGCAAGUCUGAUGUGAAAGGCGGGGGGCUCAACCCCUGGACUGCAUUGGAAACUGUUAGUCUUGAGUGCCGGAGAGGUAAGCGGAAUUCCUAGUGUAGCGGUGAAAUGCGUAGAUAUUAGGAGGAACAUCAGUGGCGAAGGCGGCUUACUGGACGGUAACUGACGUUGAGGCUCGAAAGCGUGGGGAGCAAACA